RNAcentral lists this ribosomal RNA (500 nucleotides) under uncultured bacterium. RNAcentral describes it as "partial 16S ribosomal RNA". It matches the Rfam family "Bacterial small subunit ribosomal RNA", at positions 30 to 523 of the family's 1533-position model. The record is from RNAcentral.
AUUGAACGCUGGCGGCAUGCUUUACACAUGCAAGUCGAACGGCAGCACGGACUUCGGUCUGGUGGCGAGUGGCGAACGGGUGAGUAAUACAUCGGAACGUACCCAAUAAUGGGGGAUAACUAUCCGAAAGGAUAGCCAAUACCGCAUACGCCCUACGGGGGAAAGAGGGGGAUCGCAAGACCUCUUGUUAUUGGAGCGGCCGAUGGCUGAUUAGCUAGUUGGUGAGGUAAAGGCUCACCAAGGCGACGAUCAGUAGCGGGUCUUAGAGGACGAUCCGCCACACUGGAACUGAGACACGGUCCAGACUCCUACGGGAGGCAGCAGUGGGGAAUCUUGGACAAUGGGCGCAAGCCUGAUCCAGCAAUGCCGCGUGCGUGAAGAAGGCCUUCGGGUUGUAAAGCGCUUUUGUCAGGGAGCAAAUCCUUGUGGCUAAUACCCACCGGGGAUGAGAGUACCUGAAGAAUAAGGACCGGCUAACUACGUGCCAGCCGCCGCAGUAA